UUGAUAGAAACCAAAGCAGAGGUAUAUCACUGUUAAUGAUAAAAUUGAAUUAACUUUUCCUAUCAAG
RNAcentral lists this transfer RNA (67 nucleotides) under Tubuca capricornis. RNAcentral's name for it is "tRNA-Asn". The record is from RNAcentral. Lineage: Eukaryota; Metazoa; Arthropoda; Malacostraca; Decapoda; Ocypodidae.